UACGUAGGAUGCAAGCGUUAUCCGGAAUGAUUGGGCGUAAAGCGUCCGCAGGUGGCUGUGUAAGUCUGCUGUCAAAGAGCAAAGCUCAACUUUGUAAAGGCAGUGGAAACUACACGGCUAGAGUGCGUUCGGGGCAGAGGGAAUUCCUGGUGUAGCGGUGAAAUGCGUAGAGAUCAGGAAGAACACCGGUGGCGAAGGCGCUCUGCUAGGCCGCAACUGACACUGAGGGACGAAAGCUAGGGGAGCGAAUGGG
RNAcentral lists this ribosomal RNA (253 nucleotides) under uncultured bacterium. RNAcentral describes it as "partial 16S ribosomal RNA". It matches the Rfam family "Bacterial small subunit ribosomal RNA", at positions 524 to 776 of the family's 1533-position model. The record is from RNAcentral.